UACGUAGGGCGCAAGCGUUGUCCGGAAUUACUGGGCGUAAAGCGCUCGUAGGCGGCUUGUCACGUCGGGUGUGAAAGCCCGGGGCUUAACCCCGGGUCUGCAUUCGAUACGGGCUAGCUAGAGUGUGGUAGGGGAGAUCGGAAUUCCUGGUGUAGCGGUGAAAUGCGCAGAUAUCAGGAGGAACACCGGUGGCGAAGGCGGAUCUCUGGGCCAUUACUGACGCUGAGGAGCGAAAGCGUGGGGAGCGAACAGG
This 253-nucleotide ribosomal RNA is filed under the name uncultured bacterium. Its description in RNAcentral is "partial 16S ribosomal RNA". It matches the Rfam family "Bacterial small subunit ribosomal RNA", at positions 524 to 776 of the family's 1533-position model. The record is from RNAcentral.